Molecule: long non-coding RNA, 402 nt
Filed under: Marmota monax (woodchuck)
Lineage: Eukaryota; Metazoa; Chordata; Mammalia; Rodentia; Sciuridae
Source: RNAcentral
AUUCAAAGAAAUUUCUUUAUCCUUUUGAAAAGCCACAGUAAGACUGGGGAUGUAGCUUAGUGCUAGAGCACCUGCCUAGCAAGCUCAGUGCCCUGGGUUUGAUCUUUAGUACCACAGUGGGGAGGGAGGGGAAAAGAAAAAGGAAAGAAAAGCCAUAGCAAGACCUGAUGCACUGAAACUUCAAGUACGCCAUUGAACUUGAAACCGAAGAGUGAUAAAUUACGGCACAGGAAGGAUUUCCCCAUAUGACAAUAGGGUGCAUUAGAGCACAGCUGUGUUUGCCUCACCUCACUUCACUGCAGCUUUAAAAUAACACAAAAGGCAGCUAGUUCUUCGACCUGGCACUUCUGGCCUGGAAGAUUUCUUUCAUUUCCAUUACCAUUCUGGACUGUUGACCAUCAU